This 305-nucleotide unclassified non-coding RNA is filed under the name plant metagenome. Its description in RNAcentral is "partial contains 5.8S ribosomal RNA, internal transcribed spacer 2, and large subunit ribosomal RNA". The stretch from base 1 to 105 matches the Rfam family "5.8S ribosomal RNA", at positions 50 to 154 of the family's 154-position model. The record is from RNAcentral.
GAAAUGCGAUAAGUAGUGUGAAUUGCAGAAUUCAGUGAAUCAUCGAAUCUUUGAACGCACAUUGCGCCCGUUGGUAUUCCUUAGGGCAUGCCUGUUCGAGCGUCAUCUAAACCUUCAAGCCCUGCUUGGUGUUGGGUGCCUGUCCCGCCUCCGCGCGCGGACUCACCUCAAAUCCAUUGGCGGCCCCCGCGUCGGCCACGAGCGCAGCAGAAACGCGAACUCGUGAGCCCGUCCGGGCGGCUCCCAGAAGCUACACCCACCCAGUUUGACCUCGGAUCAGGUAGGGAUACCCGCUGAACUUAAGC